Molecule: ribosomal RNA, 408 nt
Filed under: Ilyoplax dentata
Lineage: Eukaryota; Metazoa; Arthropoda; Malacostraca; Decapoda; Dotillidae
Description: partial 12S ribosomal RNA
Rfam family: Microsporidia small subunit ribosomal RNA
Source: RNAcentral
UAAUUACUUUAAACUUAAAAAAUUUGGCGGUAACUUAAUCUUACUAGAGGAACCUGUUUACUAAGCGAUAAUACACGUAGUAUCUUACUUAUUUUAGGUAAAUUUCAGUUUGUAUACCAUCAUUAUCAGAUAAUUCUAAAAGGAUAAAUUCUUUUCUCACUAGUUUAUUAUUAAAAUUAGAUCAUGGUGCAGCUUAUAAAUAAGUAAAAAUGGGUUACAAUAAUUUAUUAUUAUAACGGAUUAGUUUAGUGAAAUAUAAUUUUGAAGGAGGAUUUAGUUGUAAUAUGGGUUUAAUAAGCCUUAAUGAAAUAAGCUCUAAUUUAUGUACAUAUCGCCCGUCGCUUCCAUUCAUAGGUGGAAUAAGUCGUAACAUAGUAAGUAUACUGGAAAGUGUACUUAGAAAUUAAU